GUUGACCUCGAAUCAGGUAGGACUACCCGCUGAACUUAAGCAUAUCAAUAAGCGGA
RNAcentral lists this ribosomal RNA (56 nucleotides) under Metarhizium anisopliae. Its description in RNAcentral is "partial 28S ribosomal RNA". RNAcentral also lists the same sequence under 7 other names. The record is from RNAcentral. Lineage: Eukaryota; Fungi; Ascomycota; Sordariomycetes; Hypocreales; Clavicipitaceae.